UGGAUGAUGUGGAUAAUUCGAUGCAACGCGAAAACCUUACCUACCCUUGACAUGUCUGGAACCUUGCUGAGAGGCGAGGGUGCUUCGGAGCCAGAACACAGGUGCUGCAUGGCUGUCGUCAGCUCGUGUCGUGAGAUGUUGGGUUAAGUCCCGCAACGAGCGCAACCCUUGUCAUUAGUUGCUACAUUCAGUUGGGCACUCUAAUGAGACUGCCGGUGACAAGCCGGAGGAAGGUGGGGAUGACGUCAAGUCCUCAUGGCCCUUAUAGGUGGGGCUACACACGUCAUACAAUGGCUGGUACAAAGGGUUGCCAACCCGCGAGGGGGAGCUAAUCCCAUAAAGCCAGUCGUAGUCCGGAUCGUAGUCUGCAACUCGACUACGUGAAGUCGGAAUCGCUAGUAAUCGUGGAUCAGAAUGUCACGGUGAAUACGUUCCCGGGUCUU
RNAcentral lists this ribosomal RNA (443 nucleotides) under uncultured Rhodoferax sp. RNAcentral's name for it is "bacterial SSU rRNA". It matches the Rfam family "Bacterial small subunit ribosomal RNA", at positions 933 to 1382 of the family's 1533-position model. The record is from RNAcentral. Lineage: Bacteria; Pseudomonadati; Pseudomonadota; Betaproteobacteria; Burkholderiales; Comamonadaceae.